RNAcentral lists this small nucleolar RNA (205 nucleotides) under Oryzias sinensis (Chinese medaka). RNAcentral's name for it is "Small nucleolar RNA U3 (ENSOSIG00000012381.1)". It matches the Rfam family "Small nucleolar RNA U3". From Rfam's summary of the family: Small nucleolar RNAs (snoRNAs) are involved in the processing and modification of rRNA in the nucleolus. There are two main classes of snoRNAs: the box C/D class, and the box H/ACA class. The record is from Rfam by way of RNAcentral. Lineage: Eukaryota; Metazoa; Chordata; Actinopteri; Beloniformes; Adrianichthyidae.
GAGACUCUACUUUCAGGGAUCAUUUCUUUAGUCUGGAACUAGAGGAUUGUGUUUCUACAGAGGGUGGUCUGGCUGUCCAUGAUGAUGAUGAAGAUGUUUCCUUCAGAGCAGGAAGCUGGUGAGAAGAUGAGAAUCUUCUUCACUGAUGAAGACUGUUCAGUGUUUCUGGAUGAGACACUGAAGGAGGAAACAUUGUCUGAGUGGA